Molecule: long non-coding RNA, 268 nt
Filed under: Malus domestica (apple)
Lineage: Eukaryota; Viridiplantae; Streptophyta; Magnoliopsida; Rosales; Rosaceae
Description: long non-coding RNA (MDOM_LNC014501)
Source: RNAcentral
CGAGGGUGUUUGGCCUUCACCGCUUAGCGCCUCAAGGGCCUGUUUGUCGAAGAGCGCCCUCAAGUUAAGGUUCGACGGGUACCCAGAGAGGGCAGCGUCGAUUGGGAUUCCAGUCGGGGAAGUCCCCAAGAUAGCAGUAAGAUCAAAGAUGGUAGGGCCAAUGGGGCUGAGAGGGAGGAACAUGGUGUUGGUGGCCGAACACCAGAAGUAUAAAGCCGCUAGGAGGAGCUCAUUAUCCAGGAUGACCUCCAUGGACGAGAGGUGAAUG